AGAGUUUGAUCAUGGCUCAGAUUGAACGCUGGCGGCAGGCCUAACACAUGCAAGUCGAGCGGUAGCACAGAGAGCUUGCUCUCGGGUGACGAGCGGCGGACGGGUGAGUAAUGUCUGGGAAACUGCCUGAUGGAGGGGGAUAACUACUGGAAACGGUAGCUAAUACCGCAUAAUGUCGCAAGACCAAAGUGGGGGACCUUCGGGCCUCAUGCCAUCAGAUGUGCCCAGAUGGGAUUAGCUGGUAGGUGGGGUAACGGCUCACCUAGGCGACGAUCCCUAGCUGGUCUGAGAGGAUGACCAGCCACACUGGAACUGAGACACGGUCCAGACUCCUACGGGAGGCAGCAGUGGGGAAUAUUGCACAAUGGGCGCAAGCCUGAUGCAGCCAUGCCGCGUGUGUGAAGAAGGCCUUCGGGUUGUAAAGCACUUUCAGCGGGGAGGAAGGCGAUAAGGUUAAUAACCUUGUCGAUUGACGUUACCCGCAGAAGAAGCACCGGCUAACUCCGUGCCAGCAGCCGCGGUAAUACGGAGGGUGCAAGCGUUAAUCGGAAUUACUGGGCGUAAAGCGCACGCAGGCGGUCUGUCAAGUCGGAUGUGAAAUCCCCGGGCUCAACCUGGGAACUGCAUUCGAAACUGGCAGGCUAGAGUCUUGUAGAGGGGGGUAGAAUUCCAGGUGUAGCGGUGAAAUGCGUAGAGAUCUGGAGGAAUACCGGUGGCGAAGGCGGCCCCCUGGACAAAGACUGACGCUCAGGUGCGAAAGCGUGGGGAGCAAACAGGAUUAGAUACCCUGGUAGUCCACGCCGUAAACGAUGUCGAUUUGGAGGUUGUGCCCUUGAGGCGUGGCUUCCGGAGCUAACGCGUUAAAUCGACCGCCUGGGGAGUACGGCCGCAAGGUUAAAACUCAAAUGAAUUGACGGGGGCCCGCACAAGCGGUGGAGCAUGUGGUUUAAUUCGAUGCAACGCGAAGAACCUUACCUGGUCUUGACAUCCACAGAACUUAGCAGAGAUGCUUUGGUGCCUUCGGGAACUGUGAGACAGGUGCUGCAUGGCUGUCGUCAGCUCGUGUUGUGAAAUGUUGGGUUAAGUCCCGCAACGAGCGCAACCCUUAUCCUUUGUUGCCAGCGGUCCGGCCGGGAACUCAAAGGAGACUGCCAGUGAUAAACUGGAGGAAGGUGGGGAUGACGUCAAGUCAUCAUGGCCCUUACGACCAGGGCUACACACGUGCUACAAUGGCAUAUACAAAGAGAAGCGACCUCGCGAGAGCAAGCGGACCUCAUAAAGUAUGUCGUAGUCCGGAUUGGAGUCUGCAACUCGACUCCAUGAAGUCGGAAUCGCUAGUAAUCGUAGAUCAGAAUGCUACGGUGAAUACGUUCCCGGGCCUUGUACACACCGCCCGUCACACCAUGGGAGUGGGUUGCAAAAGAAGUAGGUAGCUUAACCUUCGGGAGGGCGCUUACCACUUUGUGAUUCAUGACUGGGGUGAAGUCGUAACAAGGUAACCGUAGGGGAACCUGCGGUUGGAUCACCU
This 1528-nucleotide ribosomal RNA is filed under the name Klebsiella quasipneumoniae. RNAcentral's name for it is "bacterial SSU rRNA". It matches the Rfam family "Bacterial small subunit ribosomal RNA". The record is from RNAcentral. Lineage: Bacteria; Pseudomonadati; Pseudomonadota; Gammaproteobacteria; Enterobacterales; Enterobacteriaceae.